GGCCUCAUAGCUCAGGGGACAGAGCACCGCUCUCCUAAAGCGGGUGUCGCAGGUUCGAAUCCUGCUGGGGCCGCCA
RNAcentral lists this transfer RNA (76 nucleotides) under Thermobifida fusca. RNAcentral's name for it is "tRNA-Arg". It matches the Rfam family "tRNA". Rfam says of the family: Transfer RNA (tRNA) molecules are approximately 80 nucleotides in length. The record is from RNAcentral. Lineage: Bacteria; Bacillati; Actinomycetota; Actinomycetes; Streptosporangiales; Nocardiopsidaceae. RNAcentral also lists the same sequence under 3 other names.